ACCGGAGCUUGCUCUGGUGGGAUUAGUGGCGAACGGGUGAGUAACACGUGAGCAAUCUGCCCCCGACUCUGGGAUAACCCCGAGAAAUCGGAGCUAAUACCGGAUACGACACCUCCUGGCAUCAGGUGGGUGUGGAAAGAAUUUCGGUUGGGGAUGAGCUCGCGGCCUAUCAGCUCGUUGGUGAGGUAAUGGCUCACCAAGGCGACGACGGGUAGCCGGCCUGAGAGGGUGACCGGCCACACUGGGACUGAGACACGGCCCAGACUCCUACGGGAGGCAGCAGUGGGGAAUAUUGCACAAUGGGCGCAAGCCUGAUGCAGCAACGCCGCGUGGGGGACGAAGGCCUUCGGGUUGUAAACCUCUUUUGGCAGGGAAGAAGCGAAAGUGACGGUACCUGCAGAAAAAGCACCGGCUAACUACGUGCCAGCAGCCGCGGUAAUACGUAGGGUGCAAGCGUUGUCCGGAAUUAUUGGGCGUAAAGAGCUCGUAGGCGGUGUGUCACGUCUGCUGUGAAAAUCCAAGGCUCAACCUUGGACUUGCAGUGGGUACGGGCACACUCGAGUGCGGUAGGGGAGAUUGGAAUUCCUGGUGUAGCGGUGGAAUGCGCAGAUAUCAGGAGGAACACCGAUGGCGAAGGCAGAUCUCUGGGCCGUAACUGGCGCUGAGGAGCGAAAGCGUGGGGAGCGAACAGGAUUAGAUACCCUGGUAGUCCACGCCGUAAACGGUGGGAACUAGAUGUGGGGUCCGUUCCACGGAUUCCGUGUCGCAGCUAACGCAUUAAGUUCCCCGCCUGGGGAGUACGGCCGCAAGGCUAAAACUCAAAGGAAUUGACGGGGGCCCGCACAAGCGGCGGAGCAUGCGGAUUAAUUCGAUGCAACGCGAAGAACCUUACCAAGGCUUGACAUAUAGAAGGAAAAGUGCAGAGAUGCACUCCCCGCAAGGUCUCUAUACAGGUGGUGCAUGGUUGUCGUCAGCUCGUGUCGUGAGAUGUUGGGUUAAGUCCCGCAACGAGCGCAACCCUCGUCCUAUGUUGCCAGCACGUAAAGGUGGGAACUCAUGGGAGACUGCCGGGGUCAAUUCGGAGGAAAGGGGGGGGAUGACGUCAAAUCAUCAU
RNAcentral lists this ribosomal RNA (1114 nucleotides) under uncultured bacterium. Its description in RNAcentral is "bacterial SSU rRNA". It matches the Rfam family "Bacterial small subunit ribosomal RNA", at positions 72 to 1196 of the family's 1533-position model. The record is from RNAcentral.